This 301-nucleotide ribosomal RNA is filed under the name uncultured bacterium. RNAcentral describes it as "partial 16S ribosomal RNA". It matches the Rfam family "Bacterial small subunit ribosomal RNA", at positions 509 to 807 of the family's 1533-position model. The record is from RNAcentral.
CAGCCGCCGCGGUAAUACGGAGGGCGCGAGCGUUACCCGGAUUUACUGGGCGUAAAGGGCGUGUAGGCGGCCUGGGGCGUCCCAUGUGAAAGGCCACGGCUCAACCGUGGAGGAGCGUGGGAUACGCUCAGGCUAGAGGGUGGGAGAGGGUGGUGGAAUUCCCGGAGUAGCGGUGAAAUGCGCAGAUACCGGGAGGAACGCCGAUGGCGAAGGCAACCACCUGGUCCACUUCUGACGCUGAGGCGCGAAAGCGUGGGGAGCAAACCGGAUUAGAUACCCCAGUAGUCCCUGUCUCUUAUAC